This is a long non-coding RNA of Esox lucius (northern pike), 421 nucleotides long. RefSeq lists it as uncharacterized. The transcript has 3 exons. The record is from RefSeq and is a predicted model, not a curated record. Lineage: Eukaryota; Metazoa; Chordata; Actinopteri; Esociformes; Esocidae.
UUGAACUCACUCCAGCAUUUGAAUAGUCACCUUGCCAGAUUUCACCGGGUGCUUCUGCGGCGUGUUCCAGCUCUGAUGCGGCCGCCGAAGCUGAUCGCGACCACUCCAGUCAAUGCUUGUGAUUCCACCAGACGAGACACAGCGCGUUUCAGGAGCGUCCCAAAAGUGGCUCUCCACUCUGUUUCCUUAAAGAUAGGUGCCUUGUCUAUUUUUGACGGACGCUGCGUCCAAGCCGCACAGUUCAAAUACAAAAACUUCCUCGCAGCGCUCUGCUUCUGAAAUGCUCCCGGUGGGUUAUGACACUGCAUGGAGGAUGCAGCAAAGCCUCAUCAGAUCCGGAACACAUGGCAGAAGUGCAGAAGGGAGUGUAUAUCCGACGUCAGGCUAUAUAAGCUGUUAACAUGUUUAGCUUAUUUUUACA